AGUUGGUUAGGUAACGGCUUACCAAGAACACGAUGUUUAGGGGACAUGAGAGGGUUGUCCCCCACAGUGGUAGUGAGCCACGGACCAGAGUCAUACGGGAGGCAGCAGUGAGGAAUAUCGGUCAAGAGUCGCAAGCAUGAACCAGCCAUCCCGCGUGAAGGAAGAAUGCGAUACGCGAAGUAAAUUUGUUUUCCAGGGGGAGAAUAAUCCUGUCGUGACAGGACUGGACGGUACUGAGGGAAUAAGCAUCGCCUAACUCCGAGCCAGCAGCCGCGGUAAUAGGGAGGAUGCGAGCGUUAUCAGGAUUUAUUGGGUUUAAAGGGCGGGUAGCCGGAUUGAUAAGUCAGUGGUGAACUUGUACAGAUUAAGGGUAGUCUUUCCGUUGAUACUGUUAGUAUUGAGGGAGGUCAAGGCAGAAGGAAUGUGUAAUGUAGCGGUGAAAUGGUUAGAUAUUACACCGACCACCGAUUGGGAAGGCAGCUUGCUGGGUCAUGACGGACGGGGAUGCAAGAAAGGGUGGGGAUCAAACAGGAAUAGAUACCUAGGUAGUCCACGCAGUAAACUACGAUCACUGGCUGUGGGCGAUACACGGUC
This 594-nucleotide ribosomal RNA is filed under the name uncultured bacterium. RNAcentral describes it as "bacterial SSU rRNA". It matches the Rfam family "Bacterial small subunit ribosomal RNA", at positions 247 to 838 of the family's 1533-position model. The record is from RNAcentral.